AUUGAACGCUGGCGGCAUGCCUUACACAUGCAAGUCGAACGGCAGCACGGGUGCUUGCACCUGGUGGCGAGUGGCGAACGGGUGAGUAAUAUAUCGGAACGUACCUUAUCGUGGGGGAUAACGCAGCGAAAGUUGCGCUAAUACCGCAUACGCCCUAAGGGGGAAAGCAGGGGACCGUAAGGCCUUGCGCGAUUAGAGCGGCCGAUAUCUGAUUAGCUAGUUGGUGAGGUAAAGGCUCACCAAGGCGACGAUCAGUAGCUGGUCUGAGAGGACGAUCAGCCACACUGGGACUGAGACACGGCCCAGACUCCUACGGGAGGCAGCAGUGGGGAAUUUUGGACAAUGGGGGCAACCCUGAUCCAGCAAUGCCGCGUGAGUGAAGAAGGCCUUCGGGUUGUAAAGCUCUUUUGUCAGGGAAGAAACAGCAGCUCUAAUACAGUUUGCGAAUGACGGUACCUGAAGAAUAAGCACCGGCUAACUACGUGCCAGCCGCCGCGGUAA
Molecule: ribosomal RNA, 501 nt
Filed under: uncultured bacterium
Lineage: Bacteria
Description: partial 16S ribosomal RNA
Rfam family: Bacterial small subunit ribosomal RNA
Source: RNAcentral